This 497-nucleotide ribosomal RNA is filed under the name uncultured bacterium. Its description in RNAcentral is "partial 16S ribosomal RNA". It matches the Rfam family "Bacterial small subunit ribosomal RNA", at positions 28 to 507 of the family's 1533-position model. The record is from RNAcentral.
GAUGAACGCUGGCGGCGUGCCUAAUACAUGCAAGUCGAGCGGACAGACGAGGAGCUUGCUCCUCUGACGUUAGCGGCGGACGGGUGAGUAACACGUGGAUAACCUACCUAUAAGACUGGGAUAACUUCGGGAAACCGGAGCUAAUACCGGAUAAUAUAUUGAACCGCAUGGUUCAAUAGCGAAAGACGGUUUUGCUGUCACUUAUAGAUGGAUCCGCGCCGCAUUAGCUAGUUGGUAAGGUAACGGCUUACCAAGGCAACGAUGCGUAGCCGACCUGAGAGGGUGAUCGGCCACACUGGAACUGAGACACGGUCCAGACUCCUACGGGAGGCAGCAGUAGGGAAUCUUCCGCAAUGGGCGAAAGCCUGACGGAGCAACGCCGCGUGAGUGAUGAAGGUCUUCGGAUCGUAAAACUCUGUUAUUAGGGAAGAACAAAUGUGUAAGUAACUAUGCACGUCUUGACGGUACCUAAUCAGAAAGCCACGGCUAACUACGUG